Oryzias melastigma (Indian medaka) is the source of this 610-nucleotide long non-coding RNA. RefSeq lists it as uncharacterized. Lineage: Eukaryota; Metazoa; Chordata; Actinopteri; Beloniformes; Adrianichthyidae. The record is from RefSeq and is a predicted model, not a curated record. The transcript is spliced from 2 exons.
UGGCUGUAAAUAACUAUGGGGGUGCAGAGAGAAGUUAACGUCCUAAAAGCUCCAGAAGGUCUGGAUCCUGACGAUCAGGUAGAAACUCAAACAGCAGCGUGGGACCGUGGGCAGGUCGCUGCCCCCCCUCUGUCUCCCCUGACAACGAGCAAAAAUAGAGCUGAGGCACCAGGUCAUGUGACCGCUCGGUCGCCACAGCAAUCACAGCCGGUCGUCGUGGCGACCCCUGGAUACGACAAAAGCAGGAAAUGAUUUAUGGAGCCGAGGGCUCUGAGGACGCCGGCGGCUUCAUUUCAUGGACUCGUCUCACCUUGAAGACGAGCAGGAUGAAGAGCAGCAUGAGGCUGAUCUGGACGCUGAUGACGAUCAGCUGAGAGAAGAGAUGAGCCAGCAUCGUCUCCACGGAGCUCACGCCUGAAAAGAUUUCAAGAGAGAAACCAGCACGUCAGGAACUCUCUUCUACUCUGAAGACGAUUCAACUCUCACCAAAAAACACAGACGGUUGAUUUUAUUGGAUAAAUAUAACAAACUUGUUGAUUCUUGCAGAAAAAAUACAAAUCUUGUUUUCUAGACACGAAUGAGUUUAGUAAAGUUAAGACUGGUUUUCAAA